GAGUGCAGGAGAGGGAAAGUAGCAAGAAAUGACAUCAGAGAGAGGCCAAGAGACGUAGGGACUUGUAGGUUAUUGUGAAGACUUUGACUUUUCUCUGAGGGAGAAAGGAAGCCAUCGGCAGCUUGGAGCCCAGGAGUGAUGUGCCCUGACUUACCUUUUAAAAGGCUCACUCCAGGUACUGUGAUGACUGAAGGUGGAAGCAUUAGGAGGCUAUAGCAGGAACACAGGCAAGUAAUGAUGGUGGCUUGAACCAGGGUGACAGCAAAGGACAUGGUGAGAAGUGGUGGAUUCUGGAUAGCGAUAGAAAGAGAAGGAAGAGCCAUCAGGAUUCGUUGACAGCUCAGAUGUAGGGUGUGAAAGAGGCGUUAAGAAGGGCUCCAAAAUUUUUGGUCUCGACGGCAGAAAAGAUAGAGGUGCCGUUAACUUUGUCAGGGAAGAUGGCAGGGGGAACCGAUUUUCUGGGAGAAAGUCAGGAGCUCAGCUUUGAACAUGUGAGGCUUGAAAUGCCAUUUAGAUCCAACUGGAGACACUGGGUAAUGGUUGGAUGUAUGUGAGUGUGGAGUCCGGGGGAGAGGCCAUCAGCACCUGGAUGACAUGGAAAGCUGUGAGAAUGGACGAGACCUCGAAGGAAAAGAGGAUAGUCAGAGAAGAGAUGACAACCAAAACCUGAGCUUGAGGACCCCAUGAUGUUAAAAGGUUGGGGAGAUGAGGAGGAACCAGCAAAGGAUUCUGCCACGGAACUGUCGGAGCAGUAGGAGGAACCUUGUACAACUUGAGGAUUCUAGUAGGUGAACCCUGGAAGGCCAGCGGUGGGGACUAAUACCCAGCAUGGGUUUAUUGUAAACAACUGUCCCCUCUCCUCUUCCCUGAUAAGAUUUCCAGGCUGGCGAUGGAGGCAACACAGCAGAUAUGGUGUGUUUUGCCUUCGGCAAGGCAGUCAGUCCAAGCUUGUGACCUCCUUGUCAUGCAACCAGAUGCCUAUGUUGUUGCAUGUAUCUGUAGGUGUCUUGCUCUGUGCAUGGGACAGGGGUUUCUAAUGGCAAACCAAUGCACCUGCAACUAGUGCUUCAUCUAUUUUGUGUUUCCACUCCAUUCAACUCCCUUUUCCCUGUCUCCCUCUAGUAAAGCAGCUUGGCAAAACCCCAGUCGUGGUUGAACCCUCCCAUCGCGCUCUCCAUGCUUGAACCUGAGGAGCUGAAUUUUGCUAGAGAAGAGCACACACCGAAAUCAGUGGCCUUUGCAUUCGCAGUCUCGGACCUCCAGUCAGCCCAGCCUAGCUGCCCUUCUGUUUCUCCAGUUUUCUCCAGCAGCUUCCCUUUCUACUCCUGCCAUACCUCCUCUCCCCUCAACCUUCACACCCUCCUCUCCAUCCUCACCCUUAGCUGAUGGCCUUACCCGACACUUUCUAAGAAAAUAUAAGCCACUGGGCAUGUCUGUCUUCAUCUUCCUACCCCCACACCCACAGGGCCACCUGCACUUGGACCAGUUUUGUCUUUCCAGCCUGUAUCUGCUGAGCGACACACCUCCUCUCAAGCCAGUCAGUGGUUGCCAGGAACUGAGCACUUUUUAAAUGAAGGGGGAUGCUCUGCCUGCCACUGCCCUGCUGUACUCCCUCUGUGGAAAGAUGGAAGGACACCAGGCACCCAGCACGGGGGAUGGAGCUGGGGGCCACUGGGACCCCGGGUUCUUUGUCCUGCCAUGGAUCCCACUCCCCGCCUGGAAGGUUAAGAACAUCACCUUCAGCUGUGGAGAGAAGGAGAAGAGGAAUGUCUCGCCAGUACCGUAGAAGCCUUUGCUGAGUCGAAUAGCCGAGGAGGAGAAGGCCCCAAACAUCUGGAAAGAAGAGUUUGCAGUUUGCCGCUGGAAGGGAGCUGGAGGUCCACUGGCAGCACCACCCUUCAGGCUUGCACCAGCAGCACCGGCCCGCUGUGGCCCUCCAUCUGCCUGUACAGGCUCCGCAGACUGAAGCCGUCCCUCGACGUGCGAAAGGCCAGACUCCAGGAGUGUCCAGCGACUCUCGGGGGGAGGUGGAGGCUGAUCUAAGGGACAGGACUGGAGGUGAGUGAGGGUUCCCGGUCCUCCCACCCUCCUCGCCCCAUAUCCUUCGGGUCCCAGGAGGACUGAGGUUGAACAGCCACCGCUCACCCAAGCACGGUGCUUUGCAGGUUACAGGGUACUUUACUGUUUCCAGGGGACUUUCACGCCAAUUAGCAGGAACCCUCAGAGAGAGGGAUUAGUGUUCCCAUUAUAUAGAUGAGGAAGCUGAGGCUCAGGGAGGUGAAGCAACAUGCCUGAAGCCCACAUGGGGAGUAAGUGGCAGAGCCAGGAUUUGAACCCAGGUCAGAGGGGUCACCUUGGCCCCCAGCAGCCAGAGAAUAGAUGAGACGCUGAACCCUUCCUCCUAAUCCCCGCAUCUCAUCCUCCCACCCCCACCCCAGCUUUGGCGUCAGUUCCCAAGGACUAGAUUAGUUCAC
Long non-coding RNA from Lagenorhynchus albirostris (white-beaked dolphin), 2474 nucleotides. RefSeq lists it as uncharacterized. The record is from RefSeq and is a predicted model, not a curated record. The transcript is spliced from 2 exons. NCBI's taxonomy places the organism in Eukaryota, Metazoa, Chordata, Mammalia, Artiodactyla, Delphinidae.